CCUACGGGGAGCAGCAGUGAGGAAUAUUGGUCAAUGGACGCAAGUCUGAACCAGCCAUGCCGCGUGCAGGAAGACGGCUCUAUGAGUUGUAAACUGCUUUUGUACGAGGGUAAACGCAGAUACGCGUAUCUGUCUGAAAUUACCGUACGAAUAAGGAUCGGCUAACUCCGUGCCAGCAGCCGCGGUAAUACGGAGGAUUCAAGCGUUAUCCGGAUUUAUUGGGUUUAAAGGGUGCGUAGGCGGGCGGAUAAGUUAGAGGUGAAAUCCCGCGGCUCAACUUCGGAAUUGCAUCUGAUACUGUUCGGCUAGAGAGUAGUUGCGGUAGGCGGAAUGUAUGGUGUAGCGGUGAAAUGCUUAGAGAUCAUACAGAACACCGAUUGCGAAGGCAGCAUACCGGCGCCCAACUGACGCUGAAGCACGAAAGCGUGGGUAUCGAACAGGAUUAGAUACCCGUGUAGUC
RNAcentral lists this ribosomal RNA (460 nucleotides) under uncultured bacterium. RNAcentral's name for it is "partial 16S ribosomal RNA". It matches the Rfam family "Bacterial small subunit ribosomal RNA", at positions 338 to 795 of the family's 1533-position model. The record is from RNAcentral.